Athalia rosae (coleseed sawfly) is the source of this 4512-nucleotide long non-coding RNA. RefSeq lists it as uncharacterized. The transcript is spliced from 13 exons. The record is from RefSeq and is a predicted model, not a curated record. NCBI's taxonomy places the organism in Eukaryota, Metazoa, Arthropoda, Insecta, Hymenoptera, Athaliidae.
CGUGCAAACUUGACCCGGCGUAUUCAACAAUUUAUAAAACUCAAGGGGGUAUAAAAGAACCAAGGAGAGAACCGUGAUUUGCCAAAAAUAAAAUAAUGAAUGACGUGGGGAUGGGGUUUGGCAACUGAAAAGUAUGAAUGAAAUGGGUUAUGCAGAUCGAAACAAAAGACCGCGGCACGAUGACGCGACGUGUUGAACAUGUGCGGUGUCGCCCCCUCUUUUCCUGCCCCAGCCCCAGCCCACGACCCGCCAAACCCCUAGCGGCGCUUUGAAUUUGGGGUUACUGAAUCGUGGCGUGAGCGAUGGGAAAUUGGAAAUUUGCGAUGUGGAUGCCUGUCGAUAUAUCCGGCGGGUAAACUGUGCAACUAGAGGAGUAAUUUGAGGGUCGUGAUCAUUGGGGCAUGGAAAUGUUCGUAGGAAAGUGUUAGCAGCAGCGAAAAAUUGAAGAAAGCUCUUCAGAUUAUUAUUUCCUUCUCGCUUAUCAAGGGAAAAAAGCGCUUCUAAUUUUAUUUCGAUCGAUCAACGAUGCCGGUGCUUUUAUAGCCUACUACAGCUGCUGGUACCCCUGCUGCACCAUUGCAUGGAAUCAUGUGACUCCCAGUCACUAUACAUUAUAAAUACAUACACAUAUAUUACCCUGCACUACAGGGGAGAAUGUAACGGGGACUGAGUGAACACAAAAUCAAUAUUGAAGAGAGUGAGAAGCAGUCUCAGGGUGGUUGAUAUCAGCUAUAGGGGAGUUCGUUCCUAACUCACUACCCCUCCUCCCCUCUUAGAAGAGAAGUGACAGACAAAUUUUAUUCCAGGGUCUCCUAUUCACCAAAAAAAGGAGAAGAACCAAGAAGCUGCAAAUGAAAAGCAGAGGUAAAAGAGAGAAGUUUAGGCCUCGUCUCCCUACCAUAUCAAAGAUUCACGCUACAUGAUCACGUUUAUAUUAACGUUAUUAUGUACACUCUGUAUAUAUGUAUACAAAUAGGAUAAGACUGCUGAGGGUUGCUAGGAAACACCCCUCUGGUUCUACUUGUCCGUCCUCCACGAGCAGCUCUUCUGCUGCAUCGCCACCGUUGCACACAUACUAGCGCAGCGGCACCUAUGAGUAUAGAAAGGAAAAAGAAAAGAGAAAAAAACUUCAGGGAAAACGAUCACAUGCAGGCAGUUCACAGGCUUUCCCAUGUAGGAACAGGGGAGCGAGCCAUCAUUAUAUUCCAUCCUUUAUUCUCUCUUGUCUGUCCGUUCUCCUCUUCGUCUUUCUGUCUGCAGGGUGUCACGUGCCAUAUUUAGCACAAACCGUCAUCAAUUUAUAGGAUAACGAUCGGCACGGUUAAUGACAAGGGACCCAAUUUUCAAAUCGCAAUGGUGUAACGAGACUGAAUCUUAUGGAGGUACCAUCUUCGAAGCUUGGAAUCCAAGCUCUUGUCAUCGAUUGACAAAAUUUCAAACGAGGUGUAGUGGCAGAGGUGGGUACGCGCAUCUGCGGCCGCAGAGUCUCGAAAAUGAGCAGGUGACGACCGAUACGUUUGUGAAGAGCAUAAAAAAAGAAAUUUCAAAGAAUUUUAAGGACCCAAAACUCCCCUCUUCUUGCCGCGGACUGCACCCUCGGAUGUUAUGAAAUCUUCGGUAUAUAAGACGGGGUCCGUUAAUCUCACAAACAAAUAUAUUUGUGCGGCAAUUAUCGUUGAUUCCGAUAUCUAGUUUUGUGGAACAAGGUCGAUGAUUUUUAUUAUCGAGAGAAGAGAAAAAAUGAUGAAUAAAUAAUCGGCAAGGAAAACUGGUCUUGGGAACGAAUUCCGUUAAUUUUCCAUACCGAUAUACAGAGGCGAUAUUUCCAAAAUUUUUGUCGACCAUCUAAAACGUGAUAGCAAUCGUUAUUAUCGUCACGAGUUCUUUGAUGAAUCGGUAGCGAUAUCGGAUCGUGAAUGUCAAAUAGAUCGCAGCCAACUGUAGCUAUCGAAAAAAAUUUUGCGAAUCUGCCCCGUACAAGAUGAUAAUCUCAAACGGAGUUGGCUGGAACUUUGAGAAUAAAGGGAAAAUUGAUGAAAAAAUCUAAAACACGAGGGAUGAACUUUUUGAUCGAAUAAUCGAAACGAGGUCAUACGUCCCCCAGGUGGAAUAGGAGGUGACGGGAAGAAGGUGAAAAGUUCCCGAACGAAAUAAUCGGUUCCAACAUUUGGUGGAACUCCGGUAGAACGUUAUCUUGAUCAAACAGCAAUAAAAAAUGAUGAUGACGAGGAUAAUAAGUGCAGCCAGCGGGAGCGGGAGCACAGUCAGCGUCAAGAGACGUAAAAUACCCCGUAGGUGCACCGAGAGCCGCGAAGGACCAGAGCGAGGAACGGAGACGGGUGUAUCGAAAAAGGUACAGAGGGAGAAACCGAGCCGAGGCUGGCGCGUGGGAGAGCAAACAGCUAAACCGUUCGAAAUACUAUUUCCCAACCGAAAAAAUGAAGUGAAAAAACUGCGCGAUUAUACGUCAGAUGAUACUCCGGAGAGAGAGAAAGAAAGAGAGAGAGAGAGAGAGAGAGAGAAGAGGGAGAAUGAAAAAUUUUACAGACGUCAUCGGCGAAUCAAUUGCCCGUCUAACGGUUUCCAAAUUCAACGUAGCCGACGAAAAUCUGGAGAGGGAAAUUUGAUAAACGAACAGAAAUUCCAAGUCCACGAUAAGGACCACCUACGACCGGUGCAAAUUUGAGGGAAGAAACGCAAUUUAAAAAAGACAAAAAAAAAAAAAGAAGGAAUUUCAGCAGACUUUUACAUCACGCUAUAGGGCGAUAUGUAUCGGGUAGACGCUCAAUGCAGAUAAGAAAAUUAAGAAAAGUUGACGGAAAUACAUUUGAAAAGAAAUUGAAUAAGAGAAUAUUCGUUUCUCGUUAGAUUUGGAAACUGAAAACAUCUGAGGAAAAAAAGAAGGCAUUCGGACUGUACAGAUUCCAAGGGUUUUUCCCCUGCACCAGACGGACACCUCGAAAUGUGUCAUGAAUGGAUUUUUCACGGUCAAAGAAUUGUCGAAUGGAAAAAGAGAAGGACAAAAAUGAGAAUGAAAGAGAAGUGAAAGAACGUCAGCCGACUAGACGUCGUCGUUGAGGUAUGCGGAGGACGUUGAGGAAGAAGAAAAAAGAAAAAGUGUCGAGGGUGCAGGUUGAAAUAUAUAGCUUCAAGUCAUAACAGGAAUAUGGAUGUGGUGCUCUCUCGAUAGCCAAUGUAGAACAGCGUCUCAGAAUUUGAAACAGUGGUCGAAAAAGUUUGUCGGUAAUCGCGGACAAACUGCGAUCAAUGAUCAUUUGAAAUCUCUUUGGGGUGCAGUGUCGGGAAAUUUUUAAACUCAUCCCGUGAGAGACAGCAACAGGAUAUAACUGAGACAGUAUAUUGCCGCAGGUCUUUAACGUGAUACAGGAAAUGUGGUAUACAGGAAGUGCACGUGGCCUGUCAAACGCCUGUUUUUUUUCUCUCCGCUCUCUGGCACUCUCAUUUUUCACCCCCUUGACGAGAAGAACAAGCUUGUGGACUAUCUCCCAAAUAUGCACAUCAAAAUCUUUUAAGGAAAAUAUACACUGCCUAAAAUCUGAAUGUCACUUGGAGUUUUUCUAAAUCGGUGUGCAACGGUGAAAAGUUUGUUGAUCUGUUUGAAACUUGCCUGAUGGGCUCCUAAUAGCUGACGAUGAAGCAUCCAUAGCAGCGACUCAAUAUUCUGUGCACACCAGCACGCCCUUUAUUUAUACCAAAAGGUCUCACCGAGUACAACCGAGUCCUGAGCAUAAAAGUGAAAAAAUAGAUGAGGAAAAUCAAGAGUCGAAGGCUUCGACGCAACAGCACCUACAGCGAAGCGGAGACAAUCUUUCACUAUUUUUACACUCUGGUCUUGUUCUCAGGGAAGUUCAACGCAGUUUUAUGUCCGUACUGGGAGCGAAUGAUGCAAGGCUCUUUAAUUCUUUUAUCAAUAGUUGAUAAUUGGAAAGAAAUUGUUUGAAGUGGGUAUGACGGCUGGAGGGUAAGAGGGGUGUUUUCUCCCCAUCACAUCGGCGCCGUCUGUCAAGUUCUGUUGCCGCGAUAUCGUUAGUGAUUGAUCACCAGCUUCCCCCAAUAUUCCACCCCUCGUUUCACCGGCCACAGAGUUAUUUCCGGUUAAUAAAAGCACGCACGUCAAAAGAAGAAAGAAAAAGAAAGAGUAAGGAAAAUAGAAAAAACGGAGCGGCGCCAAAGAUAUGCCAUGUGCCGGCUGCUAGCAGAGGGAAAUUCGAUUAUUAUCUCUAUCUGGCUCUGUGUAUCCAGCGAGGAGAUAAUUUUUACUGUAUAAAUAUAUGUAUCUUCGUUCCGUCCGUUCUGCGUGGGAAAUUGUCAAACGGCCCGAAGAUCCUAAAUUUUUUGGUGUUUGUGUUUCAUCCGAGAUAAAUCGUGCGCGUAUUUUCUUAUUUGUAAUUUUUCUUUCGUAUUGGAUGUGUUUAUUACUCACAAGAAAUGGGUUCUUUGGGUAUAUCGCUGCUCGGAAAUCCUUGGGCUUCGAAAUAGGGCCUUACAGCA